GGGUUGCAUUGUUAACAAAAAGAUAGCACCUUAUAACAAUAAACAGAACGUGAUAUCAAGCAGAAAAAAAUACAACAGACAUAUACUGGUGAAAAUAACAAUAUACUGACAGCGUACAUAAUUGCAAUAAUUAAAAAAACACAGUUGAUGUUGAUUUGACGGUGUAAAUGGUUUUGUUGUUGUUGGUUUGUUUUUUAAUGGAGGGGAUAAUCACUAAAUAAAAUCAGCUUCGCUGAACUUUAAUGCAAAUAGUAAUAUAAAUGAUAACCAAGAAACAAAAACGUGUACAAGUAGACUGAAAAGUUAUUGUAUAGUCUAAUAGUCUAGGAAUUAGUCAGUAUCCUCUUUCGAAUUCUUAUUUUCUUUUCAUUAAUUCAUUUUGCCAAAAAAUGAUUGGACCAAAAACAUAAAACUUCCCCUUAUAAACACACGUUAGAAAGACCUCCUUGUCGAUCUGGUUCUUAUGCAAGUGCACAACUAAACUAAAUAAACAAAAAUAUUUUAUAUAUAUCAAAUAAAUAACAAAUAUAUUUGAAGUUUUAGGUUUUUUUUCUGUGUAAAUAGUAUUGGUCUGGUUAUUGAGAAGUUCGAUUACAUAAUAAUUACAUAAACUCAUUUGCUACUUUAUCUUAUAAAAAUAAUGUAUUUAUGUCCUUAACCUUGACCAGGCUUCCCCAAAAACGGUUCAUAUUUAUCAGUUUUGCAAAAUAAAAGUACCUUACCUA
This 725-nucleotide long non-coding RNA is filed under the name Mytilus galloprovincialis (Mediterranean mussel). Lineage: Eukaryota; Metazoa; Mollusca; Bivalvia; Mytilida; Mytilidae. The record is from RNAcentral.